GACGAGUCUCACAAACGUUAUUCGGAAUUACUGGGCUUAAAGGGUGCGUAGGCGGUGAAGUAAGUCGGAUGUGAAAUACCUUAGCUUAACUAGGGAACUGCACUCGAUACUACUUUGCUAGAGUAAGAUAGAGGUGAGUGGAACUGAGGGUGGAGCGGUGAAAUGCGUUGAUAUCCUCAGGAACACCGGUGGCGAAGGCGACUCACUGGGUCUUUACUGACGCUGAUGCACGAAAGCUAGGGUAGCAAACGGGGAUUAGAUACCCUUGUAGU
RNAcentral lists this ribosomal RNA (272 nucleotides) under uncultured bacterium. RNAcentral describes it as "partial 16S ribosomal RNA". It matches the Rfam family "Bacterial small subunit ribosomal RNA", at positions 524 to 794 of the family's 1533-position model. The record is from RNAcentral.